Molecule: ribosomal RNA, 435 nt
Filed under: uncultured bacterium
Lineage: Bacteria
Description: partial 16S ribosomal RNA
Rfam family: Bacterial small subunit ribosomal RNA
Source: RNAcentral
GAUGAACGCUGGCGGUAUGCUUAACACAUGAAAGUCGAACGGACUCUUCGGAGUUAGUGGCGGACGGGUGAGUAACGCGUGAGAAUCUGGCUUUGGGUUCGGGACAACCACUGGAAACGGUGGCUAAUACCGGAUGUGCCGAGAGGUAAAAGAGAAAUUGCCUGAAGAUGAGCUCGCGUCUGAUUAGCUAGUUGGUGAGGUAAAGGCUCACCAAGGCAGCGAUCAGUAGCUGGUCUGAGAGGAUGACCAGCCACACUGGGACUGAGACACGGCCCAGACUCCUACGGGAGGCAGCAGUGGGGAAUUUUCCGCAAUGGGCGAAAGCCUGACGGAGCAAUACCGCGUGAGGGAAGAAGGCUCUUGGGUUGUAAACCUCUUUUCUUAGGGAAGAACAAAAUGACGGUACCUAAGGAAUCAGCAUCGGCUAACUCCGUG